Molecule: ribosomal RNA, 919 nt
Filed under: uncultured bacterium
Lineage: Bacteria
Description: bacterial SSU rRNA
Rfam family: Bacterial small subunit ribosomal RNA
Source: RNAcentral
AGAGUUUGAUCCUGGCUCAGAAUCAACGCUGGCGGCGUGCCUAACACAUGCAAGUCGAACGCGAAAGCCCCGCAAGGGGUAAGUAGAGUGGCAAACGGGUGAGUAACACGUGGGUGACCUGCCUUCGAGUGGGGGAUAACGUCCCGAAAGGGACGCUAAUACCGCAUGACAUCCUGCUCUUGAACGAGUGGAGAUCAAAGCUGGGGAUCGCAAGACCUAGCGCUCAAAGAGGGGCCCGCGCCUGAUUAGCUAGUUGGUGGGGUAACGGCUCACCAAGGCGACGAUCAGUAUCCGGCCUGAGAGGGCGGACGGACACACUGGGACUGAGACACGGCCCAGACUCCUACGGGAGGCAGCAGUGGGGAAUUGUUCGCAAUGGGCGCAAGCCUGACGACGCAACGCCGCGUGGAGGAUGAAGAUCUUCGGGUCGUAAACUCCUUUCGAUCGAGACGAACGGCUCCCGGGUGAACAAUCCGGGAGAGUGACGGUACCGAGAGAAGAAGCCCCGGCUAACUCCGUGCCAGCAGCCGCGGUAAUACGGGGGGGGCAAGCGUUGUUCGGAAUUACUGGGCGUAAAGGGCUCGUAGGCGGCCAACUAAGUCAGACGUGAAAUCCCUCGGCUUAACCGGGGAACUGCGUCUGAUACUGGAUGGCUCGAGCGUGGGAGAGGGAUGCGGAAUUCCAGGUGUAGCGGUGAAAUGCGUAGAUAUCUGGAGGAACACCGGUGGCGAAGGCGGCAUCCUGGACCACGACUGACGCUGAUGAGCGAAAGCCAGGGGAGCAAACGGGAUUAGAUACCCCGGUAGUCCUGGCCCUAAACGAUGAAUGCUUGGUGUGGCGGGUAUCGAUCCCUGCCGUGCCGAAGCUAACGCAUUAAGCAUUCCGCCUGGGGAGUACGGUCGCAAGGCUGAAACUCAAA